AUGAGAUUUCUUUCUACGGAUAUGAAGGAUAGAAAUAUGUUAUUUGCUGCUAUUCCAUCUAUUUGUGCAUCAAGUCCGAAGAAGAUCUCAAUCUAUAAUGAAGAAAUGAUAGUAGCUCGUUGUUUUAUAGGCUUUCUCAUAUUCAGUCGGAAGAGUUUAGGUAAGACUUUCAAAGAAACUCUCGACGGGAGAAUCGAGUCUAUUCAGGAAGAAUUGAUGCAAUUCUUCAAUCCUAACUAA
Molecule: ribosomal RNA, 240 nt
Filed under: Triticum aestivum (bread wheat)
Lineage: Eukaryota; Viridiplantae; Streptophyta; Magnoliopsida; Poales; Poaceae
Description: partial small subunit ribosomal RNA
Source: RNAcentral